Molecule: long non-coding RNA, 1295 nt
Organism: Meriones unguiculatus (Mongolian gerbil)
Lineage: Eukaryota; Metazoa; Chordata; Mammalia; Rodentia; Muridae
Exons: 2
Source: RefSeq, a predicted model, not a curated record
CUGCUAUGCCGAACCUCAGGAUGUUGUCAUCAUUGCAUUGCUGGAUCACAGUUUUCAGCUUUGUCCCAUCGUGGGAUUCACCAUCAGUCACAACUACCAUGACUUUUGUAGCACCCGGGCGCCCACCAGAAGCUGGUGACUCAUUUUUACGGCCUGCAGUUGAUGAGAUGGUCAAGACCCCAAAGAGCUAGAGACACAGGAGAAUGAAACCAAUCCUGUCUUCUCUUAUGGACAGUCUCUUUUGAUACAUAUAAAGAAGAUCUCACCAGCUGAUGAAAGCAGCAACUUCAGUACACAGAAAGAGAAGACGAAGGGACAGAUAAAACAGGGAAUGAAGAGAUGGAAGUGGCAAAUGUGAUGAUGGCCAUGUAUAUAUCUGAGGAAAGAGGAGAGAUAACAAUGAGGCUUUUGUCUGAUAACGGGUGAACAAGACGCCUGCAUCAUGAGCAGCGUGGGAAAGGAACAAGGCUGUUUAGGACGUACUGAAUUUGCUAAGUGAGAUGGUACUCCCAAUAAAGAUGCUGAACUUGCCUGAUGACUUUGAAGAGAGAAUUAAAAGAUGAUACAAAGCAAUGGGCAACCCAUACAGGGGUGACACUCACAGCAAGGGCAGUGACAUUAUUUGUAACAGAGAGGGCUGUGGAAGAGAGGGGAAGGGUCUUUGUUCAGUGAACAAAAGCCAAGAGAAGGAGCCAGCGAAGAGACCAGAGUUGUUGACCCAAUAUUGGUGAGGAUCUCAGAAGUUUAUGGUCCUCAGUGAAGACUGGGUUCAUAGUAGUGUGUGUGUGCGUCCUUAUCAAAUGCCGAGAGGAGCUAGGGACAGUGAGGCUUGAGGCAGGAACAUUAGGCUAGCUGAGGCAGAGCCUAUGUUCGCCUAGUGGAAGAGCUACAGGUUUUAAGGAAGAGGUGAGAAGACAACUUGUUUUGAUGGCUUUUGAGAGAAUAAAACCAGAAGAUGGAAAAGGCUGGGGGGCAGGCACAUUUAUUCUCAUUUUUUCAAAAAUGACAGUCAAACAUUUAGCUUACGUACUGAAAAAGAGAAACUGAGGGAGGAAGGGUGUGGGUGCCAUGAAGUUGUAAGGCACGCUCCCUGUGGGUGGCAGCAGGCCCGAUAACUUCAACGUUCAGAUGUUUGUGUAUAAUAUUCCAUGACCUUCACUAAUGUGUACAAAGUACCCUAUCAGUUUUAUUUGUUUAAAGCCAGGAUUAACAAACAGUGAGAGUCUUCCAUUUUAUUGUAUUUUAACCUAAGAUCUUUGAGUUUGACGUAAUUCAUGAAAGAGCAUGUAAAAUCA